This 217-nucleotide long non-coding RNA is filed under the name Prunus persica (peach). RNAcentral describes it as "long non-coding RNA (PPER_LNC001085)". The record is from RNAcentral. Lineage: Eukaryota; Viridiplantae; Streptophyta; Magnoliopsida; Rosales; Rosaceae.
AGGGUGGGGGAGAUAGUUAGACGGGGUGGUGGAAGUCUUAGGAUAACAAUAAUUAGGUUUUUUUUUUUUUUUUAGCUGAUAAUUAUGUUAGUCUUAAAAUUUUAAUUUUUAAGUUAUAGCAAAUUGAUAGAAAUGCCCUUAAAGUUAACAGAAAGUUUAACAGGGUUAGACGUAAGUGGUACAUUGCAACACCCUAUAAAGUUCAGGUAGCUCAUAA